RNAcentral lists this long non-coding RNA (979 nucleotides) under Felis catus (domestic cat). RNAcentral's name for it is "lncRNA (ENSFCAG00000048610.1)". The record is from RNAcentral. Lineage: Eukaryota; Metazoa; Chordata; Mammalia; Carnivora; Felidae.
AUGGUCUCCUCCCGAACCAUCAUUCCCACGACAUUCUGGUCCCUUUCUCGUCCCUCGGAGCUUUCCCCCCACCCCCCAACUCUGCCAACUGGAAGGGUUGUAAAAGGUCAUCUCCUGCAUUCUUCUGCCUCCUCGUCAAAUGUCUGCCUGACCUCUGCCCCUGCCCGGCGCCCCAGAAACCUCAGCUCCUUCACCAGCACUGCGCUGGCUUGGCCAGCCUCUCCCCAAUGCCUGCGGGGAUUCAACCGCUUGCAGGGGCCGUGGGAGAUCAGAAGGCAGAGAGGAGGGCAGCUCUGGCAGCCACCGGGGAGACCUGGGGCAUCUGGAGGAGACUUGACUCAGGUCCCAGCCCCCACCCCCACCCCUGGAGCAUGAAGCUCGCGAGGGUCAUCCGUGCGAUGUGAUCCCACAGUCGUAUCAAAUGAAUACACGUCACGGCGGGAAAAGAUUAAUGACCUGACGGACCAAGACUACGUGUCGCAAACCGGACCUGUUUGUGCGCCGCUGGAGGGGAGUAAACCGCUAGGCACAUUUGGGAAGAAUGGUGUCGAGGGCGUCUGGGCGGCUCGGUCGAUUGAGCGUCUGACUUUUGAUUUCGGCCCAGGUCAUGAUCUCACAGUUCAUGAGAUCAAGCCCCACAUCAGGCUCUGUGCUGACAGUAAUGAGCCUGCUUGGGAUUCUCUCUCUCUCUCUCUCUCUGCCCCUCCCCUGCUCACCCUCUCUGUCUCUCAAGAUACAUAAACAUAAAACAAUUGGGGCGCCUGGGUGGCUCAGUCGGUUGAGCGUCCGACUUCGGCUCAGGUCAUGAUCUCACAGCUUGUGAGUUCGAGCCCCGCGUCGGGCUCUGUGCUGACAGCCCAGAGCCUGAAGCCUGCUUCUGCUUCUGUGUCUCCCUCUCUCUCUGCCCCUAACCCACUCACAUUCUGUCUCUGUCUCUCUCAAAAAUAAAUAAACAUUAAAAAAAAAUUUUUUUUUAAAA